Molecule: microRNA precursor, 162 nt
Filed under: Citrus sinensis (sweet orange)
Lineage: Eukaryota; Viridiplantae; Streptophyta; Magnoliopsida; Sapindales; Rutaceae
Description: miR172a stem-loop (csi-MIR172a)
Gene: csi-MIR172a
Rfam family: mir-172 microRNA precursor family (bases 19-145)
About the family: mir-172 has been experimentally verified in Arabidopsis thaliana.
Source: miRBase by way of RNAcentral
GUCACCUUAAAACAGUCGUUGCUCGCUGUAGCAGCGUCCUCAAGAUUCACAUGCAGUCUAAAGGCAAAAGCAGCAAUUUUUCUUCAUUUUUGCUUGCCUUGGUUUUUGUCAGUGAGAAUCUUGAUGAUGCUGCAACGGCGAUUAAUGACUAGCUACCAACAA